GACGAACGCUGGCGGCGUGCUUAACACAUGCAAGUCGAACGGGUCUGCCCUGUUUUUUGCGGGGAGGGUCAGUGGCGAACGGGUGAGUAACACGUGAGUAACCUGCCCCUCACUUCUGGAUAACCGCUUGAAAGGGUGGCUAAUACGGGGUGUUCUGGCUGUGCCGCAUGGUGUGGCUGGGAAAGAUUCACUUUUGUGGUGUUUUGGUGGGGGAUGGGCUCGCGGCCUAUCAGCUUGUUGGUGGGGUGAUGGCCUGCCCAGGCUUUGACGGGUAGCCGGCCUGGGAGGGUGGGCGGUCCGACUGGGACUGAGAUACGGCCCAGACUCCUGCGGGAGGCAGCGGUGGGGGGUAGUGCACGAUGGGCGGAAGCCUGAUGCAGCGACGUCGCGUGAGGGAUGGAGGCCUUCGGGUUGUGAACCUCUUUCGCCGGUGAAGAAGGUCCUGCUCUUUGGGGUGGGGUUGACGGUAGCCGGGUUAUGAAGCGCCGGCUAACUACGUG
This 500-nucleotide ribosomal RNA is filed under the name uncultured bacterium. Its description in RNAcentral is "partial 16S ribosomal RNA". It matches the Rfam family "Bacterial small subunit ribosomal RNA", at positions 28 to 507 of the family's 1533-position model. The record is from RNAcentral.